GAAAUGCGAUAAUUAAUGUGAAUUGCAGAAUUCAGUGAAUCAUCGAGUCUUUGAACGCACAUUGCGCCCCCUGGUAUUCCGGGGGGCAUGCCUGUCCGAGCGUCAUUGCUGCCCUCAAGCACGGCUUGUGUGUUGGGCUUCCGUCCCUGGCAACGGGGACGGGCCCAAAAGGCAGUGGCGGCACCAUGUCUGGUCCUCGAGCGUAUGGGGCUUUGUCACCCGCUCCCGUAGGUCCAGCUGGCAGCUAGCCUCGCAACAAAUCUUUUUAACCAGGUUGACCUCGGAUCAGGUAGGGAUACCCGCUGAACUUAAGC
Molecule: unclassified non-coding RNA, 314 nt
Filed under: plant metagenome
Description: partial contains 5.8S ribosomal RNA, internal transcribed spacer 2, and large subunit ribosomal RNA
Rfam family: 5.8S ribosomal RNA (bases 1-105)
Source: RNAcentral